ACGGGGGGGGCAAGCGUUGUUCGGAAUUACUGGGCGUAAAGGGCUCGUAGGCGGCCAACUAAGUCGGAUGUGAAAUCCCCAGGCUUAACCUGGGAACUGCAUCCGAUACUGGAUGGCUUGAAUCCGGGAGAGGGAUGCAGAAUUCCAGGUGUAGCGGUGAAAUGCGUAGAUAUCUGGAGGAAUACCGGUGGCGAAGGCGGCAUCCUGGGUCAAUACUGACGCUUAUGCACGAAAGCGUGGGGAGCAAACAGGA
Molecule: ribosomal RNA, 253 nt
Filed under: uncultured prokaryote
Description: partial 16S ribosomal RNA
Rfam family: Bacterial small subunit ribosomal RNA
Source: RNAcentral